GACGAACGCUGGCGGCGUGCUUAACACAUGCAAGUCGAACGAGAAUCUACUGAAAGAGUUUUCGGACAAUGGAUGUAGAGGAAAGUGGCGGACGGGUGAGUAACGCGUGAGGAACCUGCCUUGAAGAGGGGGACAACAGUUGGAAACGACUGCUAAUACCGCAUGACGCAUAGAGGUCGCAUGAUCUUUAUGCCAAAGAUUUAUCGCUUCAAGAUGGCCUCGCGUCUGAUUAGCUGGUUGGCGGGGUAACGGCCCACCAAGGCGACGAUCAGUAGCCGGACUGAGAGGUUGAACGGCCACAUUGGGACUGAGAUACGGCCCAGACUCCUACGGGAGGCAGCAGUGGGGAAUAUUGGGCAAUGGGCGCAAGCCUGACCCGGCAACGCCGCGUGAAGGAAGAAGGCUUUCGGGUUGUAAACUCUUUUAAGAGGGAAGAGCAGAAGACGGUACCUCUAGAAUAAGCCACGGCUAACUACGUG
RNAcentral lists this ribosomal RNA (479 nucleotides) under uncultured bacterium. Its description in RNAcentral is "bacterial SSU rRNA". It matches the Rfam family "Bacterial small subunit ribosomal RNA", at positions 28 to 507 of the family's 1533-position model. The record is from RNAcentral.